CGCUAGCUACAGGCUUAACACAUGCAAGUUGAGGGGCAGCAUGGUCUUAGCUUGCUAAGGCCGAUGGCGACCGGCGCACGGGUGAGUAACACGUAUCCAACCUGCCGUCUACUCUUGGACAGCCUUCUGAAAGGAAGAUUAAUACAAGAUGGCAUCAUGAGUCCGCAUGUUCACAUGAUUAAAGGUAUUCCGGUAGACGAUGGGGAUGCGUUCCAUUAGAUAGUAGGCGGGGUAACGGCCCACCUAGUCUUCGAUGGAUAGGGGUUCUGAGAGGAAGGUCCCCCACAUUGGAACUGAGACACGGUCCAAACUCCUACGGGAGGCAGCAGUGAGGAAUAUUGGUCAAUGGGCGAGAGCCUGAACCAGCCAAGUAGCGUGAAGGAUGACUGCCCUAUGGGUUGUAAACUUCUUUUAUAAAGGAAUAAAGUCGGGUAUGCAUACCCGUUUGCAUGUACUUUAUGAAUAAGGAUCGGCUAACUCCGUGCCAGCAGCCGCGGUAAUACGGAGGAUCCGAGCGUUAUCCGGAUUUAUUGGGUUUAAAGGGAGCGUAGAUGGAUGUUUAAGUCAGUUGUGAAAGUUUGCGGCUCAACCGUAAAAUUGCAGUUGAUACUGGAUAUCUUGAGUGCAGUUGAGGCAGGCGGAAUUCGUGGUGUAGCGGUGAAAUGCUUAGAUAUCACGAAGAACUCCGAUUGCGAAGGCAGCCUGCUAAGCUGCAACUGACAUUGAGGCUCGAAAGUGUGGGUAUCAAACAGGAUUAGAUACCCUGGUAGUCCACACGGUAAACGAUGAAUACUCGCUGUUUGCGAUAUACGGCAAGCGGCCAAGUGUAAGCAUUAAGUAUUUCGCCUGGGGAGUACACCGGCAACGGUGAAACUCAAAGGAAUUGACGGGGGCCCGCACAAGCGGAGGAACAUGUCGUUUAAUUCGAUGAU
Molecule: ribosomal RNA, 932 nt
Filed under: uncultured organism
Description: SSU rRNA
Rfam family: Bacterial small subunit ribosomal RNA
Source: RNAcentral